CGUCAGGCAUGUGUGGAAUAUGGUUUCUUUUACCUUGUAAAUCAUGGAGUGGAGGAAGAGUUGCUCGCUCGAGUUUUUGAAGAGUCUCGGAAAUUCUUCUCUCUCCCUUUAGCUGCGAAGAUGAAUUUGCUUCGCAAGGAACACAGGGGUUACACCCCAUUGUAUGCUGAGAAUCUCGAUCCUUCUUCCAGUUCUAAAGGUGACUCAAAGGAAAGCUUCUAUAUUGGUCCUUUAGAAAAGAGUUGCCUCAACCAGUGGCCCUCACAAGAACUUCUC
Molecule: unclassified non-coding RNA, 276 nt
Filed under: Hevea brasiliensis (rubber tree)
Lineage: Eukaryota; Viridiplantae; Streptophyta; Magnoliopsida; Malpighiales; Euphorbiaceae
Source: RNAcentral